CCGGCGCGCGCCGCUCCCCCGUCACGUGACUGUGACCCGGCCGGGCAGUUGGGGCGGGGGAGUCGGGCGGUGGGUCGGAGGAUGCUUGUGCCUGUGGGCUCCGCGGCCAAAUACGGCGCUGGUCGCCUCGUCUUGGAGGUGUCCUGCCAUUUAUGAUGACUCUUACCAGUGCAGUUACUUCUUGCUGUUCCUCUGCCUCCUUCUUGUCUUUUAAAGCCUGCACUGAUUCUAAGGAAGUGAAAUUGGAAGAACAUCAGAGAAGAUGAGAAAAGAAACAAACCAGUCAAAGGAAUUCUAAAAGGUCUAAUUCAAAUUUGUGAGCCGCGUUUAUUUAGAGAAAUAAAUGAACGUUGCAAGAGAUAGCUGCUAUAAGAGCUUACAGUAGGGUCAUUCACUGAUCUGGCCAGAAAUGUUAGGAAGGCUUCCUUGAGGAAGUCACACUGGAAUGGAGAUCUGAGGAUAAGAGAGGAGAAAAAGAAACAGAGGGAACUUUUGUCAGGAGGGAACUUUGGAAGCCUGAGGGACUGAAAGGAGGCCAUUGUGGCUAGAGCAUAGAAUGCUGGGAGGGAGUGCUACAGUAUGAAGCUGGAGACCAGAUUAAGCAGGACCUCACUGGCCAUGCUGAGAACCUUCAUCUUUUUCUUGAGAGCAUCUUUUUCUUGUGGAGGGGAUUUGACAUAGUCAGAUCUGUGUUUUAAAAAGAUUAUUCCAGCUGCAGUGUGGGAACGUGAACAGGGUCAGCAUUAGACCAAUUAGGACCUAUGGGUAGUGGUUAGUGUCGGUAGUGGUUCAAGUGAAUUGAGUGGGAAGAAGGAAGUGGAGACAAGUGGGAGAAAUGGAACAAUUUGGGAAGUAAAAUGGGAGAUCUUGGUGAUGGAUUUAGAUAUGGUAGAGUGGAAUGGGGACUGACGAGAGGGAGGAGUCAGAGACGAUGGGAUUUCUGGCGGGCCCAGUGCGUGGGUAGUAAAUGCUAUCGCUGGAUGUGGGGGACACUGAAAGAGAGUUGGUUUUGGAGGAAGAUGGUGUUUCAACAUUUGAACAUGUUGAGUUUAAGAUGUUUUUGUGACUUCAAGGAGAAAUGUCAAGUAAGCAGAUCUAUGGAUCUGCAGAGGAGAAGUCUGGGCUGGAGAAAAAAAAUAUUUUACAGUUUGUAAUUUGUCCUUUUCCACAAGCCUUGUCAGAUGGGAGCAGAGAGCCAGCUGAGCCACAGCGUACCUGGAUGUGUGACCAACAGAACUGUGAGUAUAAGCUUGGUCAUCCUGAGUUCCAGCCAUCAGGGAGGAGAAAGACAGCAUGGAUGAAGCUAUCCCAGGCCCAGAAGUGGCACACGUCACUUCCACUCCAUUCUGCUGAAGAGAACCUGGUUACCAUCACACUCAACAUAGGAGGCUGGGAGACAUAGUCUGAACAUGUCCCAAGAAGAAAAGGAGAAUGGAUUUGGGGGACCAGAUACCCAACUUCUGCUUCCCAUUUUGUCACACAGAAAAAUUAAGUAAAAGAAGAAAACGCAACCUCAAAGACGGGACCAUCUUUUAAAUAUUCUCACUAUAAUCUGUAUAUUAAAAAUGGAGUUCAGGGAAAACACCAUUCCUCUGAAAUUAAAUAAAUUGUGCAUUGUGUUUAAAGAAAGGGUGAAGGAGAUAUGAUUGUCAGAUGUUCAAAUCUUGAGUUGACUGCUGGGUCCAGAUUAUGGGGCUCAAAGCUAAAGUGAAUGAAAUAGUCCAAAGCAAUUCCACUGCAUCUGCCAUUGCAAG
RNAcentral lists this long non-coding RNA (1754 nucleotides) under Equus caballus (horse). RNAcentral describes it as "lncRNA (ENSECAG00000050699.1)". Lineage: Eukaryota; Metazoa; Chordata; Mammalia; Perissodactyla; Equidae. The record is from RNAcentral.